CAGUCGAACGGCAGCACGGGUGCUUGCACCUGGUGGCGAGUGGCGAACGGGUGAGUAAUACAUCGGAACGUACCUUAUCGUGGGGGAUAACGCAGCGAAAGCUGUGCUAAUACCGCAUACGCCCUGAGGGGGAAAGCGGGGGAUCGAAAGACCUCGCGCGAUUAGAGCGGCCGAUGCCUGAUUAGCUUGUUGGUGGGGUAAAAGCCCACCAAGGCGACGAUCAGUAGCUGGUCUGAGAGGACGAUCAGCCACACUGGGACUGAGACACGGCCCAGACUCCUACGGGAGGCAGCAGUGGGGAAUUUUGGACAAUGGGGGAAACCCUGAUCCAGCAAUGCCGCGUGAGUGAAGAAGGCCUUCGGGUUGUAAAGCUCUUUUGUCAGGGAAGAAACACCGGCUCUAACACAGUCCGGGAAUGACGGUACCUGAAGAAUAAGCACCGGCUAACUACGUGCCAGCAGCCGCGGUAAUACGUAGGGUGCGAGCGUUAAUCGGAAUUACUGGGCGUAAAGCGUGCGCAGGCGGUUAUACAAGACAGGCGUGAAAUCCCCGGGCUUAACCUGGGAAUGGCGCCUGUGACUGUAUAGCUAGAGUGUGUCAGAGGGGGGUAGAAUUCCACGUGUAGCAGUGAAAUGCGUAGAUAUGUGGAGGAAUGCCAAUGGCGAAGGCAGCCCCCUGGGAUAACACUGACGCUCAUGCACGAAAGCGUGGGGAGCAAACAGGAUUAGAUACCCUGUAGUCCACGCCCUAAACGAUGCUGACUAGUUGUUCGGGAUUUACAUCCUGAGUAACGUAGCUACGCGUGAAGUCAGCCGCCUGGGGAGUACGGUCGCAAGAUUAAAACUCAAAGGAAUUGACGG
This 860-nucleotide ribosomal RNA is filed under the name uncultured bacterium. RNAcentral describes it as "bacterial SSU rRNA". It matches the Rfam family "Bacterial small subunit ribosomal RNA", at positions 59 to 916 of the family's 1533-position model. The record is from RNAcentral.